Small nucleolar RNA from Tachyglossus aculeatus (Australian echidna), 138 nucleotides. The record is from RefSeq and is a predicted model, not a curated record. NCBI's taxonomy places the organism in Eukaryota, Metazoa, Chordata, Mammalia, Monotremata, Tachyglossidae.
AUCCUCUCAGGAUGAAACCUGGAGAGUUUCCAGUAUUCUACCAGUCUUGGCUAUAGGAGGGAGAGUCAAGCAGAGGCAUACCCAUUCUAUUCCUAGUUUGAGCAGUGGCUAGAGAGUGGAAGCCAUUCUGCUACAAGU